CCCAGGCAAGCCAACCUCCUGGACACAAAAGGUAUGUUAAAAAGAUGAUGGCUGCAAAUAUAAAAAUAUAACUUGUGUGUGUGCAUAUGCCAGUGUGUUUAUAUGUCAGUGUGUGAAUGUGUUCAGGUGUAUGCAUGUGUCAGUGUGUUAAUAGUGUGUGUCAAUAGUUGCAAUAUGUUAUCAAAUAGUUUUGUCAUAAUAAAAUGUCAUGUACUUGUUCAUACAUGUUUGGAG
This is a non-coding RNA of Pelobates cultripes (western spadefoot toad), 234 nucleotides long. Lineage: Eukaryota; Metazoa; Chordata; Amphibia; Anura; Pelobatidae. The record is from the annotation of a GenBank genome assembly.